GACAGAGGGUGCAAACGUUGUUCGGAAUUACUGGGCGUAAAGCGUGUGUAGGCGGCCAAGUAAGUCGGAUGUGAAAGCCCUGGGCUCAACCCAGGAAGUGCACUCGAUACUACUUGGCUCGAGUAUCGGAGAGGUUGGUGGAAUUCUCGGUGUAGAGGUGAAAUGCGUAGAUACCAGGAGGAACACCGGUGGCGAAGGCGGCUUCCUGGACGGAUUAUUGACGCUGAGGCACGAAAGCGUGGGGAGCAAACGGG
Molecule: ribosomal RNA, 254 nt
Filed under: uncultured bacterium
Lineage: Bacteria
Description: partial 16S ribosomal RNA
Rfam family: Bacterial small subunit ribosomal RNA
Source: RNAcentral